This 503-nucleotide ribosomal RNA is filed under the name uncultured bacterium. RNAcentral describes it as "partial 16S ribosomal RNA". It matches the Rfam family "Bacterial small subunit ribosomal RNA", at positions 28 to 523 of the family's 1533-position model. The record is from RNAcentral.
GAUGAACGCUGGCGGCGUGCCUAAUACAUGCAAGUCGAACGAAGAUCUAGCUUGCUAGAUCUUAGUGGCGAACGGGUGAGUAAUACAUAAAUAAUCUGCCCAUAUGACUGGGAUAACUAUUGGAAACGAUAGCUAAUACCGGAUAGGUUGAUUGGAGGCAUCUCUGAUUAAUUAAAGUAGGAUUUCUACACAAAUGGAUGAGUUUAUGGCGCAUUAGUUAGUUGGUGGGGUAACGGCCUACCAAGACGAUGAUGCGUAGCCGACCUGGGAGGGUGACCGGCCACACUGGGACUGAGACACGGCCCAGACUCCUACGGGAGGCAGCAGUAGGGAAUUUUCGGCAAUGGGCGCAAGCCUGACCGAGCAACGCCGCGUGAGUGAUUAAGGCCUUCGGGUUGUAAAGCUCUGUUGUAAGGGAAGAACAUUCAGGAUAGGAAAUGAUCUUGAACUGACGGUACCUUACCAGAAAGCCACGACUAACUACGUGCCAGCAGCCGCCGCGG